This 468-nucleotide ribosomal RNA is filed under the name uncultured bacterium. RNAcentral's name for it is "partial 16S ribosomal RNA". It matches the Rfam family "Bacterial small subunit ribosomal RNA", at positions 28 to 507 of the family's 1533-position model. The record is from RNAcentral.
GACGAACGCUGGCGGCGUGCUUAACACAUGCAAGUCGAACGGAAAGGCCCUGCUUUUGUGGGGUGCUCGAGUGGCGAACGGGUGAGUAACACGUGAGUAACCUGCCCUUGACUUUGGGAUAACUUCAGGAAACUGGGGCUCAUACCGGAUAGGAGCUCCUGCUGCAUGGUGGGGGUUGGAAAGUUUCGGCGGUUGGGGAUGGACUCGCGGCUUAUCAGCUUGUUGGUGGGGUAGUGGCUUACCAAGGCUUUGACGGGUAGCCGGCCUGAGAGGGUGGCCGGCCACAUUGGGACUGAGAUACGGCCCAGACGCCAACGGGAGGCAGCAGUGGAGAAUAUUGCACAAUGGGCGGAAGCCUGAUGCAGCAACGCCGCGUGCGGGAUGACGGCCUUCGGGUUGUAAACCGCUUUCGCCUGUGACGAAGCGUGAGUGACGGUAAUGGGUAAAGAAGCACCGGCUAACUACGUG